UUUGUGAGUACUCAAGUGCCCUCCAAACCCAUCGGUCGCCCCCACCGCCAUUUCCGUCCAAACACUUCGACCCCGAAAACCCUCGACGCCGCCGUCUCUAGCCAUGGCGCUCUUCGCCGCCGCCGCCCGCCGCGCCGCCACAUCCUCCCUCCCCCUGCUCCGUGCCUCCGUAUCACACGGCGGCAUUACCCUGCCCCGGGCUCUGGCCGGCGCCGCGGCGCGGCCGAUGCCCUUCUCGUCGGCGACCGGGGUGAAGCCGAGCUCCGGUGACGAUCUCCCCCCGCGUCAUCAAGUCCGAGACCAACCUGGCCGAGCAAUGCGACGACCACGACCCGGACGACAAGAAUUCCGUGUCAUCUUCACACGAGUCCUCGCCAUCUGUGGAUGAGUCUUCAUCAUCUUCAGUUAGGAAUCAAGAAGACGAAGGCGAGAACCGCCCAAAAGAACACGGCCGUCGUCUGACGUGGUUCUACGAGAUGGGUGAUGACUCGAGCGUGAAAUUCUCCUGCAUCGUAUAUCCAGCAUAGCACAAGAUCGUCGUCAAAGCCUUAGCCCUGAGGCCGCCACCACCAUUUGAUCAGGAGUCGGAUGAAGAGGUUGAUUCUACUGAAUCCGAAGAGGUUGAUUCUACUGAAUCCCCUGAGGUUGCUUUUAGUGAAUCCGAAGAGGUUGUUGAGUUCAGCAAGCUGGAUGUGAAACUGCAGCUUGCACUGUACAAGCUUGUGAAGGCGCUGGGUUAUGAUACUCCCGGGGUCACAGAAGUGUUGCAGGAGCCCACGAUGAGCAAAGACCGGCCCCGGCUUCUCUUCUGGGAGACCGAGCUGUGGGAUUUCCUCAACAAAGAUGCAAUGGUACUUGUUUACUACCUAUGUAUUACAAAUGUUGCUUUUAAGUUUUGGACAACUUAUUGUUGAAAGCUUAGUUUAUGGGGCUAACUUCACAAAUUGUUCUGGCAUGGUAUCUAAUUAAUGAAUUGGCAUAGUUUAGUGUAAAAUGGUGCACCCACGUUGUGGGAGGAAAAACAUGACGGUUAGAAAAUAAUUGGGUUGCCUGGCCUAUUUGGCACACUUUCCUAAUUUCAAAUUUACUGUGAACAAGUUCCUAUUGAUUUUAGGAGUGUUGGGUUGUUGUCCAGGACAUCAUCUAAAUUUACUGGGAGCAAGUUUCCUGUUCAUGUUAAAGUGUCGCGUUGUUGUUCAGAACCUCAUUUUCCCCAUCUAAAACAGGGUGCGUCCCGCCGAGCCCCCCAUCCGAAUCCUCAUUAGUGUUGCUGUUGUCCAUCUAUCGUUGGCUUGCAGCCAGAAUCCUUUUGUGAUGUUCUCAGAGGGAGCUAAUUGAGUGAUCCAUUGCCGUGAGGUGGCUGAGCUUUCGAUUGGGAUUACCCUGUAGUGGUAGAAAUGGUGAUGUAUAUGAUACUCUCCAUUCAAAAGUGUUUUUUUAGGGGAAAAGCUUCCCCUCAGCCGGCGGAUCGCACACAAAGCGUCCGUCGCCUUGUACGCCCACCACGUGCUAUGCUAGGCUGCAACCUUAUCCCUUUGUCUCUGCCUUCAGCCGGCGGAUCGCACAGUAAACAGUUCCCUCAACAUGAUCUUUGUUGCAAAAAAAAAAACAGCCACAUGGUCUCUGUUGCGAAAAGUUUUGCAAACAUUUUCGCAACAUGAUCUUUGUUGCGAAAACAUUCCGCAACAUGACCUUUGUUGCAAAAACAUUCAGCAACAUGACCUUUGUUGCAAAGGUUUCUGCAACAUGACUUUUGUUCCAAACAUUUCUGCAACAAUAGCUCUGUUGCAAUAAUGAAGGUUGUCUGUCAGCCGCUUGAUGGGGCGGGAUCUUGCGGCUCGCGACCCGGCCGAUCUUUCAAAAAGAUCAGCCGGCAGACGUGUAGCACGGCCCUUUUUUAGGCAAUUCAGGAAUUGUGUUACUCUGGUCAUGCCCAUAUCUUCCUGCUGCAGUUGACAGUGUAAUUCGAAGUGCAGAGUAGUCUCCGGUAGUACGAUCUGUACGUUCACCUAGCUAACUUUGGUCAUGUUUUUUUUUAUCUCAGUUCCUCACUGUACAUGUUAACUGCAAUUGUUCCCACGAGAACUCUGUACUCUUGUGUCUUUUGCUGCUGUUGUAUGGCUCUGUCAUGGACUCAUGGUAUUUAUGUUCGGGUUGCUCUUACUUAUUUUGCUGCUGCUUGAGGUUCUAUUUCAGUAAAAUUUGUGUGAUAUUCUUGGCUGGACUGAUUUGUUUUCACAGUUAAGAACAUCUUUUAUCUUAUCAAUUGACAGCUUGCACGCUUGAUGUACCAAACUAUCUAUGUACCGUUGUGUAAAAUGAUGCACUGUUAAAUUUUCUGCAUGUUUUUACUUUUUUCUGCGAUGACAAGGGGUACUGGUUAUUUUUCUGAACUUCUCCAGUCAUGCACCGAGUCGAGUUUAUGGUCCAAGUAAUCCGUUUUUACCAUGUGCUGAUGAUACUUCAUUUUUUACAUGCACGUGUUAUAUCAUAUUGCCUUCAAGUUUUACCCUACUUAGUGUUAUCAUAUAUUCCUUAAAUCCUGCUGGAAUCUUUAGAUGUAGUAGGACAGAAGGAAGAUGCUUUAGUUUUUUUACUGUGUGUGAAAUGCAGUUGUUUUUUUCUAGUCGCGCAGAGUUAUUGCAAUUCAGUAAUGUAAUCUUCAAGGACAUCUCAAGGAUGUAGCAUUUCAAGCAAGGAUUUAUUCAUCCCUUAAAUCCUGCUUGAGAAACCAAGCUGGGAUCUUUAAGGGAUUUCUUCAUCCCUUAAAUCCUGUGUGUGAAGUGCCAUUGUUUUUUUUUUCUAGUCACGUAGUGUUAUCGAGAUUCAGUAAUGUAAUCUUGAAGGCCUUCUCAAAGGAGUAUGAAUUUUAGAGGGAAACAUGUCAGUUGGAAAAAAAUGAGUUGCAUGUCCUAUUUGUUUUGCAGUGAACACUAGUAUUUUUUACUUUGAAUAUUACUGUGAGCAAGUUUUCUGUUCAUUUUUGGAGGAGGUAAUAGCAUCCCAGGUACCCUAACUUGCACUCAAUGUGAUGAUUUAGUCCCAAAGUUGCAAAACUUGACCAAACCAUACCCCAACUUGCACCUCAUGUGAUGAUUUAGUCCCAGGCCAAUCACAGCUCGCCAAUUGGCUGCCAAGUGGCUGGACCGGUCAGCACACGCAGUUUUGCAGAAAACCCCCUGCCGUCUCCAAUUAUCAACCCGCAGUCACCCCCACCUGAAUUAAAUCUGUCGACGGCGCCCCCACCGCCACCGCUGCGGACGCGGAUGCCACGCUCGGCGAGCUCGCCUCCAACCUCUGACGCGUACGCCGACGCCGACGCCACGAUGCGCUGCUCACGCAGCAGUUCCCGGUCCGCCCCAGAUCCCAGGCCCAUGCCCUCGACCGCGUCAUGGCCAUCAAGCUGUUGGAGGAGCACCUCAUCCCGCGCUGCGUCGAGUGCCUCGCCAGUGGCAAGGCCCCCGUCCCUGGCAAGACCCCCGACUCCUCCACCUCCUAGCCGGACAGCAGCCCCGACAGGGACGACCCGGACCCAGUCGCGGCCGCCACCGAGGCCCUCGCCAAGGUCGACCUCUCCGACGACCCGGACACCACCGCCACCGCCAAGUCCGGCUCCAGCAAGCCCCGUCAGGCAGCCAGAGGCGGCGGCGGUGACGUGGGCAAGUCACUCGACUACCUGUACCGCGCGUGCAGGAUCGCUCGCCGUGAAGCACAUUGACAUCGCCGUCUCCGUCCUCUCCCUCUUCAUGGAGCCCAAGAAGCUCGCCAGCCUCGCCGAGUGACGCGUACGUGAGUCAUCUUGCUCUGUUAUGUUUCUAGCCAUGGAGGAUUUACUGCUAGUAGUGCGUAGUGGUUUGGAUGAGUGAUUUGGGUAGUCGUUUAGUUCAAUAGAGGUUCAGAUGAGAGAUGAGCACUGUGUUCUGUACUUCUGAUUGCAUUAUGUGGCACCGAAUGGUUGUUGCCUAGCUUAUCCAGUGCGACUUGAAUGAAUUUUGGUGCGAAUUUGGUUGAUCUUCUUGUUCUCUGUUCCGACUGUUUGUUCAACUUCUGUUGUUGCUUGUGCUAAUUUUUUUCCUGCAUGCAUCAGUUACUGUUUAGAUGGCUCAAUUCACUUUCAGUUUUUACUCUGAAUCAUCCUAUGCAUAUAAGGAAUGUUGUUCAGUUGUUAGAAUUCUGUUUGAAAAGCGUGAGCGUUUGAUGAUCAGGCACAGGACCGGAUGCCACAAACUCACUGCAAUGAUCAUUUCGUUCUUCUAUUAUGAUAUACUCCGCGCAUAUUUAUGUGUUUUGUCAGUCCCCUGGAGGUCCUGCAGGCGGUGCUGGAGUUGCAGGAGGCGGUCGCGGUGUCCUGCGGGCUAAAUUGCUAACUGAAUGUCUUUGUCAGUCCCCUUUCGGUUAUGGCUCAUGAACUUAAUUACAGUGUUCAUCUUGUUUCUGUUCUGUUAAGGUGUGCAUGAUUGAUCGACUGCAUGUUCUGUUUUUGCACCGUGGAUCAUGUAGGACGAAUGUCAUUCAGAUACAGGAUCAGCCUUACUGAAACUCUUUGAUAUUCUCGCCUUUUCGGUUUUGACUGAUGAACUCACCUCGGUUAAAUUCUAGCUUAUGACAGAAAUGUUGGUAGCUGCGCUAAGCUUCAGGAUUUUAUCAGUACUUAGGAUUGAUCAACUACAGAACCUGACUAAAGUUACUUUAAUUGUGUCCCAUCAAACAGUUUUUGGAGAGUUGGUUGCUGGGCUAAGUUAGUUUCUGUUGGUUGCUAGGCAAUUUCCUAGUUGUGUCUGAUCAAGCAGUUUUCUAGAGUUGUGCAAAUGCAACUUAAUGUUGGUCAGGUUCUGUAGAAUUAUGCACUGAUAAACUUGUCAUCGUACAUGGUCUUUAUUUAUCGUGUUACCACUCUCGUUUAAAUGCAUUUGUUUUUGGAGACAAGGCAGUGAAAGGAGGUGCAGAGUAACAUGUUUCAGAUUACAUGCAUGUUAAGUACACAAGCCCUACUUUGCAUUUUGCCCAGCGACGUUGCCUCUAUACCAUGUUUUAAACUGCUAAUUCUGCUGUAUAUGCCCUUCCUAGGGUCAUUAAUUUGUGAAUCACAGAAUAUGAGUAGUGUUGUAUUCGAGCUCUGAAUUUCGUACAGUAGAGCACACACACAUGACACAUGUACAAGUAGAGUAAUUCGUACCGUCGUGCUCAUCUCGGUCGCCGAUGCGGCCGGCGUCGCCCUCAUCGGAGUCAUCGUGGUGUACAUAUACUGGAAGCUGCGCGACCGGCGCGGGGACGACGACGACGAGGACGAGGAGGGGCGAGGGCUCUUCGCCUGCCCGUGCAUGCAUGCAAACACCUGCGGGGACUCGUCGGACAGGUCCGACGCGGGCGGUGGCGAGAAGAAACGCGGCAACGGUUCCGGGGGCGGAGGCGGCUGCGAGGACGGGGAGCUGGUGGCGAUCGACAAGGGGUUCCGGAUAGAGCUGGACGAGCUGCUGCGGUCGUCGGCGUACGUGCUGGGGAAGGGCGGGAAGGGGAUCGUGUACAAGGUGGUGGUGUGGUGGUGGGCAACGGGACGACGCCGGUGGCCGUGCGGCGGCUGGGCGGCGGCACCGCGGCCCCAGAGCGGUACAAGGAGUUCGCGGCGGAGGCCGGCGCCGUCGGGCGCGUGCGGCACGCCAACGUGGUGCGGCUGCGCGCCUACUACUGGUCGCCCGACGAGAAGCUCGUCGUCACCGACUUCAUCAACAACGGCAACCUCGCCUCCGCGCUGCGCGGGGGGUUUCUGCAAAACUGCGUGUGCUGACCGGUCCAGCCACUUGGCAGCCAAUUGGCGAGCUGUGAUUGGCCUGGGACUAAAUCAUCACAUGAGGUGCAAGUUGAGACAGAGAAGGCCCCAUCGAUGUCCCCUUUCAAAAUCACCGGCAAGGGGCUGGAGCUGAUGUCCGAAGAGGAGUACCUCCGCGUCAUCAAUUCUGGGAUCAAAUACGCCGUGGAGUGCAACAACUGCAACCGGGCUGACAAGAAAAUCACAGGAGAUGACGUGUAUAGGUACAUGAAGAUGCGCGGGGUCACGUCCUUCUCCCCCAAGUUCCUGCAAGAGACCAUACUCGACAAGCUCUAAGCGUAAGACAGGACAACAAAUCUGCUUUGCACAUCCUGUUCCGAGACCCCUACUACGAGCCUCUGAGCUAUAUAUAUGUUCGUGUAUCGUAGCGCGAUGUUAUUAAAGUUUAGAACGGUUCCUAGAGAAUACUUUGUUUAGUAGUAGUAGUAGUAGUAAUGCUGGUUCGGAAGAAAUAAUUAUGUAUAUGUUCUCCGUGAAUGCAUUUGUGGAGUAGGUUUGCUUUGCUAUCUUGUACUAGUAACCUACCGGUUGACGUCAUAUGGUCACAAUGGCUGUGUACACCCUUGUAAAUAGGUCUUAUAUUUUGGUAUGGAGGGCGUAGGUUAUUAAGGGCAUCUUCAAUGCCAAUCUGC
Triticum aestivum (bread wheat) is the source of this 6459-nucleotide long non-coding RNA. RefSeq lists it as uncharacterized. The record is from RefSeq and is a predicted model, not a curated record. NCBI's taxonomy places the organism in Eukaryota, Viridiplantae, Streptophyta, Magnoliopsida, Poales, Poaceae. The transcript is spliced from 6 exons.